AAACUUUCAACAACGGAUCUCUUGGCUCUGGCAUCGAUGAAGAACGCAGCGAAAUGCGAUAAGUAAUGUGAAUUGCAGAAUUUAGUGAAUCAUCGAAUCUUUGAACGCACAUUGCGCCCCUUGGUAUUCCGAGGGGCAUGCCUGUUCGAGCG
RNAcentral lists this ribosomal RNA (152 nucleotides) under Erysiphe sp. MUMH 2361. RNAcentral describes it as "partial 5.8S ribosomal RNA". It matches the Rfam family "5.8S ribosomal RNA". Rfam says of the family: 5.8S ribosomal RNA (5.8S rRNA) is a component of the large subunit of the eukaryotic ribosome. It is transcribed by RNA polymerase I as part of the 45S precursor that also contains 18S and 28S rRNA. Functionally, it is thought that 5.8S rRNA may be involved in ribosome translocation. The record is from RNAcentral. Lineage: Eukaryota; Fungi; Ascomycota; Leotiomycetes; Helotiales; Erysiphaceae.